This 253-nucleotide ribosomal RNA is filed under the name uncultured bacterium. RNAcentral's name for it is "partial 16S ribosomal RNA". It matches the Rfam family "Bacterial small subunit ribosomal RNA", at positions 524 to 776 of the family's 1533-position model. The record is from RNAcentral.
UACGUAGGGUGCGAGCGUUGUCCGGAAUUAUUGGGCGUAAAGAGCUCGUAGGCGGUUUGUCGCGUCGAAUGUGAAAACCCGGGGCUCAACCCCGGGCCUGCAUUCGAUACGGGCAGACUAGAGUUCGGUAGGGGAGUCUGGAAUUCCUGGUGUAGCGGUGAAAUGCGCAGAUAUCAGGAGGAACACCGGUGGCGAAAGCGGCUCUCUGGGACGGUACUGACGCUGAGACGCGAAAGCGUGGGGAGCAAACAGG